RNAcentral lists this ribosomal RNA (251 nucleotides) under uncultured bacterium. Its description in RNAcentral is "partial 16S ribosomal RNA". It matches the Rfam family "Bacterial small subunit ribosomal RNA", at positions 57 to 305 of the family's 1533-position model. The record is from RNAcentral.
GCAAGUCGAGGGGUAACAGGGGAGCUUGCUUCCGCUGACGACCGGCGCACGGGUGAGUAACGCGUAUGCAACCUACCUUCAACAGGGGAAUAGCCCAGGGAAACUUGGAUUAAAGCCCCAUAGUUCACAGAAUUCGCAUGUUUUUUGUGAUAAAGUUCCGGCGGUUCAAGAUGGGCAUGCGUGCCAUUAGAUAGUUGGUAAGGUAACGGCUUACCAAGUCUACGAUGGCUACGGGGUCUUAGAGGAUGAUC